GUAGGUGGCAAGCGUCGUCCGGAAUUAUUGGGCGUAAAGCGCGCGCAGGCGGUUCUUUAAGUCUGAUGUGAAAGCCCACGGCUCAACCGUGGAGGGUCAUUGGAAACUGGAGAACUUGAGUACAGAAGAGGAAAGCGGAAUUCCACGUGUAGCGGUGAAAUGCGUAGAGAUGUGGAGGAACACCAGUGGCGAAGGCGGCUUUCUGGUCUGUAACUGACGCUGAGGCGCGAAAGCGUGGGGAGCAAACAGGGAUUAGAUACCCUGGUAGUCCACGCCGUAAACGAUGAGUGCUAAGUGUUAGGGGGUUUCCGCCCCCUUAGUGCUGCAGCUAACGCAUUAAGCACUCCGCCUGGGGAGUACGGCCGCAAGGCUG
This 373-nucleotide ribosomal RNA is filed under the name uncultured organism. Its description in RNAcentral is "partial 16S ribosomal RNA". It matches the Rfam family "Bacterial small subunit ribosomal RNA", at positions 527 to 896 of the family's 1533-position model. The record is from RNAcentral.